RNAcentral lists this ribosomal RNA (462 nucleotides) under uncultured bacterium. RNAcentral's name for it is "partial 16S ribosomal RNA". It matches the Rfam family "Bacterial small subunit ribosomal RNA", at positions 29 to 507 of the family's 1533-position model. The record is from RNAcentral.
ACGAACGCUGGCGGCGUGCUUCACCCAUGCAAGUCGAACGGAAAGGCCUUUUCGGAGGUACUCGAGUGGCGAACGGGUGAGUAACACGUGGGUGAUCUGCCCUGCACUCUGGGAUAAGCCUGGGAAACUGGGUCUAAUACCGGAUAGGACCGCACUUUAGUGUGUGUGGUGGAAAGUUUUUUCGGUGUAGGAUGAGCCCGCGGCCUAUCAGCUUGUUGGUGGGGUAAUGGCCUACCAAGGCGGCGACGGGUAGCCGGACUGAGAGGUUGGUCGGCCACAUUGGGACUGAGAUACGGCCCAGACUCCUACGGGAGGCAGCAGUGGGGAAUAUUGCACAAUGGGCGCAAGCCUGAUGCAGCGACGCCGCGUGGGGGAUGACGGCCUUCGGGUUGUAAACUCCUUUCGCCAGGGACGAAGCGUUUUGUGACGGUACCUGGAGAAGAAGCACCGGCUAACUACGUG